Molecule: ribosomal RNA, 415 nt
Filed under: uncultured bacterium
Lineage: Bacteria
Description: bacterial SSU rRNA
Rfam family: Bacterial small subunit ribosomal RNA
Source: RNAcentral
AGAGUUUGAUCCUGGCUCAGAUUGAACGCUGGCGGCAUGCCUAACACAUGCAAGUCGAACGGCAGCACAGCAGUAGCAAUACUGUGGGUGGCGAGUGGCGGACGGGUGAGUAAUGCAUCGGGAUCUACCCUGACGUGGGGGAUAACCUCGGGAAACCGGGACUAAUACCGCAUACGUCCUACGGGAGAAAGCGGGGGACCUUCGGGCCUCGCGCGGCAGGACGAACCGAUGUGCGAUUAGCUAGUUGGCGGGGUAAUGGCCCACCAAGGCGACGAUCGCUAGCUGGUCUGAGAGGAUGAUCAGCCACACUGGGACUGAGACACGGCCCAGACUCCUACGGGAGGCAGCAGUGGGGAAUAUUGGACAAUGGGCGCAAGCCUGAUCCAGCAAUGCCGCGUGUGUGAAGAAGGCCUUC